Molecule: long non-coding RNA, 687 nt
Organism: Macrobrachium nipponense
Lineage: Eukaryota; Metazoa; Arthropoda; Malacostraca; Decapoda; Palaemonidae
Exons: 3
Source: RefSeq, a predicted model, not a curated record
AGAGAAUACAUAAAUCCCUUUAUUGCCAUAUAUGAAACGCUUGAUUCAUAACAUUAUGCUAACAACAUUUGACGUAAAUCGCAGUCGUUAUGUUACAAAGGCUGUUAGUGAAUUUACUUAAGAGAUCACAAGUGUCACUAAGAAGAAAAUGCCUAUAGCCUCGUUUAAAAAGGCCGAUAGACUUGGAAAAAGUGUACGAAAAUCCUUCAAUGUAGUUACAUAUUGCAACAGUAUUAUAGUAAAACAAAACAUCUAGGUGAAAUAUGAAGGUAUUUCAAGGCCUUGUAGAAAAUUACGAGAUUGUAUAGGUUAUUGGAAGAUUUUGGAGUAUUGCAGUACUUUUUUGAAUGAACUCAAAAAGACUUCUGGACUUUAUAAGUUUUAACACCAGAUUCGAUUAACUGACAGGUUAACGUGCUCGUGAAUAACCAGUCAUAGAAAACGGGAAAUCUUGAGGGAGAUUUUGAACUGACGAUCACAGAGAGUCUGGAUGCAUUUUUCCUUGCCAGUGGGAAGCGACUUCAAGUAAGGUAGUGGGAGGAGCCUGUUCACCUACCGGACAAAGGAAGAAAAAGUUUUUAACCACGAAUUAUUUGGAAUUCAAGUUGCUGUCGAGUAGAAACUACAGCUGUAUAAUUAAUGGGAGGGGAACCAAGGACCUAAUGACAUCAAAAACAGACAGGGGCA